RNAcentral lists this non-coding RNA (32 nucleotides) under Geobacter sulfurreducens KN400. Lineage: Bacteria; Pseudomonadati; Thermodesulfobacteriota; Desulfuromonadia; Geobacterales; Geobacteraceae. The record is from RNAcentral.
ACCGAAGUGGUCGAGACGGCUGCGGCGAUCGG